RNAcentral lists this ribosomal RNA (43 nucleotides) under Dacrymyces subalpinus. RNAcentral's name for it is "partial 28S ribosomal RNA". The record is from RNAcentral. Lineage: Eukaryota; Fungi; Basidiomycota; Dacrymycetes; Dacrymycetales; Dacrymycetaceae.
UAGGCAUCAAAUUGGUAGGACUACCCGCUGAACUUAAGCAUAU